Molecule: ribosomal RNA, 228 nt
Filed under: uncultured bacterium
Lineage: Bacteria
Description: partial 16S ribosomal RNA
Rfam family: Bacterial small subunit ribosomal RNA
Source: RNAcentral
UGAGCAAUCUGCCCUUCUCAUCGGAAUAAGCGUUGGAAACGACGUCUAAUGCCGAAUACGACCUCCUUUCACAUGAUCGGAGGUGGAAAGCUCCGGCGGAGAAGGAUGAGCUCGCGGCCUAUCAGCUAGUUGGUGUGGGUAAUGGCCCACCAAGGCGACGACGGGUAGCCGGCCUGAGAGGGCGAUCGGCCACACUGGGACUGAGACACGGCCCAGACUCCUAGGAGG